RNA transcript from Neopelma chrysocephalum (saffron-crested tyrant-manakin), 9604 nucleotides. It is a transcript of the gene named KIAA2026 ortholog, with no coding region annotated. NCBI's taxonomy places the organism in Eukaryota, Metazoa, Chordata, Aves, Passeriformes, Pipridae. The transcript is spliced from 12 exons. The record is from RefSeq and is a predicted model, not a curated record.
CGGGAGCGAAGGGAGGGCCCGGCCCGGCGGGAAGUGCGCGCGCUGGAGCCGGGAUGCGCCGGUCCCACCGCCGACGGCGGCGGGGGCAGGAAGGGGGCGGGCCCUGAGGGCGAGGGCGCGGUCCUCAGGCGGGCGGGGCCGCGAACAGGCCCGGGCGGUGCUUCCCCCGCGGCGGGCGCGUCCCGCCCCCCGGUGCGGGGGCAGGGCUGGGGCCGUGCCAGGGCAGCGAGGCAGGGGUUGAGCGGGGUCUGUGUCCGCAGGUGAGCCCAGUGCGGAUGCGGCGGCGGGGCGAGGGGCAGCGCCGCGGUCCUCGGGCGGUGCCGAGGAGCCGGCCCGGGGCGGGAGACACGGACUCCGGCGGAGACCUCCCGACGGAUCGGCCCGCCGCCCUUCGGAGCGGGAUGGAGGAGCUCGACAAGGAGGGAGAUGGUGCCGGAGGGAAGACCGCCUGGCAGCAGAGCCUGAGUCCCGAGCUGCAGCAGGGAUACCGAAUCCUGCGCGAGUUCCUACUAGAGAAGUACCGGCCUCUGACGGCGCCGUUCCUGGAGCCCCUCGCGGAUCAGGCAUUCUUUGGAGAAGAAGGCGCCGGCUCCCUCUCGGGCCAUAAGAGCGGCCAGUGCCUCCAGCAGUUGCCAGCUGGAAUAUGGCUGUUGAAGAUGGAAGAGAAAUUUUCCAGUGGGCAGUACACAGGGAUAGCAGAUUUCGUGUGUGACUUCCGGCUUAUGCUGGAGACUUGCUACCGGCUGCACGGUGUGGAUCACUGGCUCUCCAAACAGGCCCAGAAGCUGGAGAUGAUGCUGGAACAGAAGUUGGCGCUGCUGUCCCGGCAUUUAAGAGAGAAAACAUCAUUAGCUGUCACAUCUAGAGGAUGCUAUGGGCAGGAAGAUGAGAAAGGAACAGCAUGCAUUUCCACAAGACGUCGUUCCACACCUCGCAGUUUAGUAGGCUUGUCAACAGGCAUGUUUGAGUCUGUGAUGGUUCAGGUUCUAAGACAAGAGGAGCAGCUGAGAGCAAAAGAGGAAAAGAGGCAGAGAGAUCAAGAAAGAAAAGAAGCAGAAGAAGCUAGUCAGAAAGAAAUAGAAGAAUGGGAAAAAUCACUUUUAGCUCAAGCAGCACCUACAAAGAUGGAGACGAUGUGGGAGAUUCCAGCUAUUGGUCAUUUUCUUUGUUUAGCACAACAGAUUUUAAAUUUACCUGAAAUAGUAUUCUAUGAAUUGGAACGCUGUCUUCUGAUGCCUCAGUGUAAUGUUUUUUUAUCUAAAAUAAUGACUUCUUUGUUAAGUCCUCCUCAUCGCAGAUCUACAUUACACCGCAGGCCGACAUUUUCUUACAGGACUUGGGAAGCAGCACUGAGAAAGAAAGUACAACACUGGUAUACUGUUGUAGGGCAGACUGACAAUCCUAAUGGCGCUGCAGAAAAACUUGGCUUAUGUCCCCAGUUUUUCAAAGUGCUCGGAGAAGUUAAUCCCUUGGAGGAAAAACCAUUUCAUGAGCUACCAUUCUACCAAAAAGUGUGGCUGCUAAAAGGUCUCUGUGACUUUGUGUAUGAAACACAAAAGGAUGUUCAGGAUGCAGUGCUAGGUCAGCCUAUCCAUGAAUGCAGAGAAGUAAUUCUUGGUUAUGACUGCUUGGAGAAUGCAUAUGUUCAUUUUCCACAGUUCUGUGGUGCGGAUGUUCGGAUUUACAAACAGAAACCUUUUCAGGCUCCUGAAUUCCCAUCUCUUCCCAUCAAAGUUAAAAAAGUACCACGUAUUAAAUCUGAAAGAGUAAAACUUGAAUAUGUAGCCAAAAGCAAUGGGGAGGUCAAUUCUGUUGAUAGAGAACUGCUACAUCCUUCCAAGACAGAAGUAGAGAAAAGUAUGGACUCUGUUGUUGUCUGUCCAGAAAAGAACCUACAUUUAGGCACCUUUAGAGUCCCUACUGGGGAGAUAAACUGUGAAAUCAAAGCCUCAAGAGUCUGUGACAUCAAGAAAACUGUUUGUUAUAAAGAGAACUUGAAGAAUUUGAUUACUUCAAGUGAGAUUGUUGGUAUGGGUGGUGACUCUAGUUCAAGAGAAAUAACGGAUGGGGAGAAUGGACAAGGUUAUGCUGAAAUGGCCAGACUAAGGUCUGAUAUGAGUCCAUUCAAGGAGAACACACUGAAAGCUUGCCAGGUGCAUGUCAAUGGCACUUACAAUGAUUACCAAGGCACCAGUUACCAUAAAUCUGCUAAAGAAACAGUGCUAGAGAACUCACUGCAAAAUAAUAAGAAACUAAAUAAGAUACUAGCAAAAAAGAAGAAAAAAAAAAAAAAGAAGUUGAAGGAUAUUCUAAAUGAAAAUCUACAGAGAAAACUUGAUGACCUGCAAAGAAAGCGUGAGAUUCAUCUUCAUCCAUUCAAAUCUUAUAAAUCUGAGCUCCAGAACAAGUUGUUUAUAAUUAAAAAGAAAGCAAAACACAAGAAGCACAAAUCUGGAAAAAAAUCACUAUCUAAAAAAGCAAUCACAAAGAAGAGGAAGGGUGUCAGAAAGUCUACCAUACCAGAAUUUCAGCUUAUUUGCACUAAUCUUGAUGAACUCAGGGAAUUAAUCACAAAGAUUGAGAAUGAACUCAAAGAUCUGGAGGACAUUAAAAAGAAAUCGGGAAGAUGGUACCACCGGAAGCAAGCAGUAAAGGAAUUGCAUGGUACGUUGUUACGACUGCUUAAUGAACUGUUACCAUGGGAACCAAAGCUAAUUAAAGCAUUUCAAAGAAACAGGUCUAGAUUGAAGAAGGACUAUGAUGACUUUAAAAGACAUCCAGACCAUGAUAAAUUUACCAGAGAAUUGUGGAGUAAUGAUGAAAGUGAAGUUGAUUCUGGCAAAGAAUCUUUUGCAGUAGUAUGCGGUAAAUCAUCAGAGUCUCCAGAACAUACAGAAGUUCCCAAAAAAGAUCACUCAAGCAAUGAUGAAAUGAAACUAUUAGAGAUGAAUUUACCUGCAGGAAAAAACAGAAUUCUGAAAAAAGAAUCAGCUUCUAAAGAAAUCCAGAAGACACUGCCCAAAUGCAUUAAACGACAGUUCAAGCAAAAUAGUUGUCUGGAUCAAAGCACUAAUGAGCUCUCACCAAGGAAGAAAGCUAAGCUGAGCACUGUUGAGGCUGUGGUCCAGAGUUCAGAAAGUAGCCUGCAGCCGGAUAGUUGUUUAACUGAGCUAAAACAAUUUGAAGGGUCAAGUUUAGAGUUGUUUUCCUUGACAGAUCCUACAACAUCAGUAUCAAACUUUCUGAAAGGGACCAAACCCAUCCAGGCCUUGCUUGCCAAGAAUACUGGGAACAAAGUGACCUUAACAAAUCAACCAUCGCCUCCCCCAGGCAUAAAUGUAUCAACUUCUGAAAAGUCAGUUUUACCACCUUUGGAAUCAUCAGUGAUCAAACCAGCAUUGCCCUGCCAGGCCAGUUCAAAGACUCCCUUACAAAUGGUAUACAAAAUGCCAAAUGGUCAUUGUGUACCAAUAGACCUUCAUAACAACUCAGUGAAAAUUCAAAUGCAAACUGUGACUGACCCUAAAACUGGAGAAAAAGUCAUGCAACAAGUUCUUAUUUUACCUAAGAAUUUUCUUCUUCAGCAGCAGGAAGGAAAAAUUGUGUCCAAGGACGUUCAGCCACUACAACAAAAAUCGUCUGAGCUGCACUGUACAUCUUUACCAAAAGUGUCAAAUAUCAGUGUUUCUUUAACAUCUGUUCUGGUGACAGGCUCUGCAAAUACUACCACUCAGUCACCUACUACGAUUUUUAGCAAGAAUAUUACCCACUCGUCACAAGUGUCUAGUCCCAUGAACACUACACUAUCAUUGCCUGAUGUAACUUCAGCAGGUAACUUACUAUCAUCAAAAAUUAAGGUGAACCAAACUGAAACUGACAAAAUCAAGACUACAGUUUUGACUGCUACAUUCCCUGUGUCUUUGACUUCAUCUACUCUUUCCACAGCUAGCCAGUCCUUGAUACCAGCAACAGCUUUAAGUGGGUCUGCGAACACUGAUUCUGCCUGUCAUAGUCUUGCAUCGCAGCAGCCAACUGACUCCUGUGAAACUAGGCAAGAGUUGAAGACUGUAUGUGUAAGAGAAUCACAAUCUAUUCUGGUCACAACACGAGGCGGAAACACAGGCAUUGUUAAAGUGCAAACAAACCCAGACCAGAUUUCACCUAGUAGUUUAUCUUCUAGUUCAGUUUUCACUUACACUUCUCAACUUCAGGCCUUUCUUGUGCCAAAAACCACAGCAUUAACAUGCUCUACUCUUCCAUCUCUAGCAACAGCUACGUCUGGUUUCCCACAUAUUGGACAAUCAUCUCUUUCUGGAUUUGCCCCCUCAACAGCUUCUUCUGUUAACAUUCCAGCUUUCCCCGCUGAUUUUAACCAGGCAAUGGAGAAAAAUAUCAAAUUCACACUACAGCAGCCUCCUGUUGGGGACACUUUAGGUCAAGUAAUAGAGAACUCCUGCUAUGUGUCCUCUCCUUUAUCUUCCAUUUCAUUAGCUAGCAAUGUGAUGUCCACAACUCCAAACAGUCCUGUUAGUGUGACUAGCACUGGACAAAAUAAUGCUGUCGUAACUCCAAACUCUUCUGUACAGCAUCAAGGGGAUACUAAAACCAAAACAAAUUCUGUUAUACAGUCUGAGUCUAAUUCAGCAACAAGUGGAGAUUUAGUCAGUGGUACUCCAGUCCAGAAAUUUACAUUAGUUACAAAUUCACCAAUUUUAUCUCCCUCUGGAGCAUCAGGAGUCAGUAUUAUACCCUCUCCAGCAUCCACUGCUGUUAAUGCUCAGAAGCUGGUUUUUGUUAACCCACAAAUUGCCAGUGGCCCAUCAACCACCAAUCUAGUUGCAGAGUCAUUGAGACAGAACCUUCCUUCUUCCCUAACCAAAACCUUUGUUAAUUCCACAGAGCAACCACAUUUGGUUUUGAUCCCAUCUACAAUAGGAGCACCAAUAAGAAUAAAUUCAUCACCAACUAUUGCUCAAGUAAAAGAUGUAAAAAUUGGACUAAAUAUAGGUCAGACCAUUGUAAAUACUAAAGGCAAUGCACAGGAGGCCCCACCAGUUAAUAUGUUGCACUCUACCAUUUCUAAAGGAGAAGACAAAAAGAGCAUUGGCUUGGCGCUGUCUUUGACAAGUAGCAGUACUGUGGUUCCUGCUCCAGCUUUUGCUGUGUCAUCUAAUGAAUCUGUAUGUGUUGCAACAAAAGCUGAAAAUGCCUUUACAGUAACAACAGCAAAUGCAUGUGUAGAAUCUGUUUCAGUAGCAUCAAGUGGGACUUCUUCUGGGACACGGCCCACUGUCUUGACUGGCAGCAGUGAUCCCUCAAGAAUAAGGCCAGUUCUGGGUAAUCGACUUUGUGCAUCAAAUAUUGGAAAUAUGGGUAUAUCGACUGUGAAAACAGGGCAUCUUGCUUCAUCUGUGCUGAUUUCAACCACACAACCAACAGUAUCUCCUCAAAACUUACCAUCUGCUUUGCAAUUUCCAUUCAUUAGCUUGCCUGGAUCUGCAGCCGCCCCCAAAAAGGUGUUACAUACAGUUCCUCAGUUAGCAACAGUUCCAGCUCCUCUUCCAGUAUCGAAAAGCCAGUUGCCCACACUGCUUCAGUUUCAGUCAUCAGGAACUUCAGCUGGUAUGUCAAGUCACACAGGUAUUCACAAACCUCAGAGUGUGUUGCCCUCUCUGUCACCAAAUACAGAUGAAGGCAAUGAAGUACUGAGUUGUCAUAGCAACAUGGAGGAACUGGGAAUAGAAUCCUUGGUCCCCUGAACUCCUUCCAGCAUCCCAUCCAUUACUAAAGCAGUUCCAAGUUUUUUCUGAAUAUGUUUACCAGAUGACAAUCCUAAAAUUCCUCCUGAAAACAACUGCACAAGCAAAUCCAGCGCUAAACGGUAUCUAAAAAGGGCAGCUGUUUUGCUCCAGAGUGUCAGGAGCAAUGAGAUGGUUGGGGUGUAUAUGAUGGUGUGCAGAAAUAAAAAUCAAUUACUUCUGCCAAGAUAUUUUUCCAUGGUGGUGCUCAGUGACAGGACCAGAGGCAAUGAGCACAGACUGAAACACAGGAGCUGCUCUGAACAUCAGGAAACUUUUUUUUCUGUAGGAGUGACUGAGCACUGGCACAGAUUGCCUGGAGAGCUUGUUGGGUCUCCCACACUGGCGAUACGCAAAAGCUGUCUAGACACAGUCAUGACCAACCAGCUCUAGGUGGCCCUGCUGGAGCAGAGGGUUUCCCUCACAAAUUCUUAUUUCCAGAGUGGGAAAGGAGGGAAGACACCUUUUAAGAGCAUUGUUGGUUCUAGCUGCUCAUGAAAUCAAAAUAUACAUCAAAUUUCAAAACUCCUACCACUAGCAGAUAAGGGUUCUGAGUUGCUGCUGGAAGAAAGCCAUAAAGCCAUAAAGUCAUACCCUGUAGGAAGCCAGUCGUUACAUACAUCCAGACCAUGUUGAAUCCAAAAAAUCCCAGUGCCAUUCCUGAAAAAGCCAGGAGUCCUCCAGUGAUCACAACUGCCCGAUGGGUGUAUCGUACACAUAAUGAACUGGCAACAGGGGCUGGAUCAGCAGCAAAAUUGGAGAAAGAAAAAUACAUUAGGAACAUUAAGCUGAUUGACAUGACCAAAUAAUCAAAUAAAUCAAAUAAAGUACCCUUAUAACUCUUGUCUCAAGCAGACUUAAUUCUUCUGGAUGGAGCAGGACAUCAAUUGAAAUUUCAAAAUUGGAUCCUUACUGACAGGGAAAUGACUCUCCCUGGUGCUCAGAUUUUUAAAUAUAUUCAAAAUAUGUAAUAGUUUUUAAACGGAAAGAGCCCUUCAGUGCCUUCCUUGCAGGACAGUUCUACUGAAUUUCAUGUAAGGAUACAACUAGCAACGUGACAGAAACUAGUGUAGAAUUUUAGCAGAAAGUGAAACCUCAAUUUUAUUAUUGAGACUGUAUUAUUGAUAUGGCUGGCAUGGAAACUUUCUAGAGGAAAAUAAACUUUGUCUUCUAGAGUUUUGCAAAAUCAUAUCUUUAUGGAAUUACAAAAGUUUAUAAAGAACAAAAAAUCAGUGUUUAUUUCGUGGUAAUGCUUUUUACAGGAAAUUUGCAGUUCAUUUCUUAAAUCUUUAUUUUAGUGGUACAGUUUCUCUCAGCAGAGUGCAGGGACUGUUCAGCACGAGGGCAAAAAUGUAGUAGGUACAGAUCAGAGAGGGCAGCAACUGCUUUAUCUCUAGUCACUAUCUGGAAGCACCUGAAAUGUCAGUGAUAUUUUUGCUUAAUUAAGGAUCAGUUAUAUUGCCUCGCUGUUUUUCCACCUGCAUCACAGAGAUGAGGUCAAGGCCGUAAGAUUUCUUUAAAUAGCCUUGGCCACUAGGGGACUCCCAAGUACCACCUGGCAUCAGUCGGCUCCUUUCGAUACAUUAAUGAUCUGGGGACUGGAAUUCAGUUAACGAGGACCAUGCUUGUAAAUUGAAAUACAUAGGAAGAUAAUGAAGAGAGAGCAGUCAGCAAGGAAGGUUUCAUAGUAGUUUGUAGGGGCAGGUUGUUGUAGGUUCACCUGUAUUAGGAUCAGAAUUAAGAGAAUUUGGUGGCUAGGGUGAGUGAAAUAAAUCUGGUAGAGUAAUAACGGCUGCAAAAUGUGCAGGAUGUACAUUGUCUGAUAGCAGACAGACCUGGCAGAAGUUAUACAAACCCCAGAUGUCUCAUCAGCAUUUACAGCAAAAAUAUGAUGAUUUUAUAAACAUGUAAAAAUUAUGCCAAAAUUCAGUCAUGGUCUCUAAGAUGUAGUGGAUGAGACAUGAUAAAGCAUAUACAGUUGGAGAAUCAUACGUUAUGAUGAGAGAAAAAAAAAAAAGAGAAAAGUAGACUCAGGAUAACUUCCAUGAAAGUGCUUAAAGAGAAGAGAGAAAUCUGCAGUUGGAGCAGAAAUACUAUCAAACCCCAAAUUUUAAAUAAUGAAAAAGGAGAAUAGAUAGGCAGAAAUUGAACAUGGGGUAGAAGGAGAAAAAAAGAAGCUAACCACAGAACUGGAAAUGGGAAAAAUAGCUAGAUUCCACAGUCUGAAAGGAUAAAGAGUAACACAGAGAAAACUUACAAGCAAUGAAAAGGGAUUAUAAUCACAGUGCAAAGAGAAAGGUGAGGGGACAUGUACGUCAGUACCAAGAGAAAGCCUAUGAAUGUGACGGGGAGAACCCUUGCUCUGGUAAACUGAAUAGCCUGUUGCUAGUGCAAACCCUGGGAGUAGAAGCACAUGCUCUCCUUCCAUACAAGAACAGAGCUGAUGUUGGAAGGAUCCAGACACGACAAAAUAAUAAUUCAGUGAUCAUCCUUCAUACUGAACCAAAUGACACUGAAGGUUUCCCAGAAGAACACGAUAAGAAAGACUAAGCCAGGCCUGGAAAGAUGCUCAAAGAACUGGAGGUUCAGAUGAUCUUAAGCAGAAAGUCUUCUGAUCCCUGUAAAUGAAGCAAAGGCAGGAGAAGAUGAGGACAAUUAUAUACUGACCUGAGACAUUACAAACUGCUAUACAGAGGGGUUUUGGAACAUUUGGCCAUCAAGCUGUAUUCACUGAAGGAGGGUUGUUUUCAUAUGAUCUCAAAGGAUCAAAAACAAUUUCUGAAAAUUAUAGCUGCCUUCUUGGAACUAGGCUGGCCUCACACCUGGCUAGGAAAAUACAAUUUUGCUGGUUUAUAUUUGACAUUUUUAAUAUGCUCUAUUCCUUGAUACAUUCCUAUAUAAUGUAAAUAUGUGUUAAAACCAAAACAAAACCUAACUAAAACAGGACUUUGAGUUCUUUUAUCCUCUUAUGUUAUUUUUUUUCUCAUUAAGUUUGUAUGCCUGAAUGACAAAAUAGUAUCACAGUAGGUCAGCGAUAAGUCUAAUUUGUAAACCAGAUUGAUAGAUUUAUUCAUGGCUGUGGUCUAUGAAGCAAGUUUUUCAAUUUUUUUUUCAAUUUUUUCUUUCAAUUAAUUAUUUCUGUCACUGCAAAACAGGCAUCAAGGAUAGCAGUUUAUGGAACUGAUAAAAUUUUUUCAACCCAUGACUUGCUUUAUCCUUUGACUUUGGAUUAUUCUUUGAUUUUUCUGAAUACAUUUUUUAAAGAAAGAUCAGUUGCUCAUGAUGUUUGGAAGUACUGCAAUUCCAAGCAGUAAUACUGAUAGGUGUGGACUGAGUAGGAUGCAUAUAAUUAUAUAGUGUCUAUGAAAUGAAGUGUCUUCACAAACAAAAUUAUGAUAGCAUUUAUUACGUAGGGAUAUUUACCUAUUACAACCAUAUAUCUAUAUAAGAACAUGUAGAGCAGACUUCACAAAUUCUGUACAUUUCAAGCCUGCACAUGUUUAGAAUCAUCAUCAUCAUGUGAAGGAUCAUGCAGUUUACAAGGGCGCAAAGGACUCUCUAAACAACCAAGCUGAGUCAAAUGCAGUAUGUUUUCUAUUUUCCUCCUCCAUUUGGUGAGAUAUGGUAUUUGGCCUGCUCCCAUAGCUCAUUGCCUUUGACUGGGAUAGUUCACUCUCUCUUCCCCUAUGUUCUGCUUGCGUGAUCUUGUCUUUCUUGUGCUCUGAGUGAACUGAUUUUUUUUUUCUUUUUAACUCUGUGAGUUUUCUGUUAGAUAAAUGACUUGCAAUCAUUCUAAAGGGGUUAAA